GAUGGGUGUGGUGGUUCGUGCCUAUAGUCCCAGCUACUUGGGAGGCUGAGAUGGGAGGAUCGCUUGAGCCCAGGAGUUCUGGGCUGUAUCACACUAAGCCGAUCGGGUGUCCACAGUAAGUAUGGCAUCAAUAUGGUGACCUCCCAGGAACAGGGACCACCACGUUGCCUAGGGAGGGGUGAACCGGCCCAGGUCAGAAAUGGAGCAGGUCAAAACUCCGUGCUGAUCAGUAGUGGGAUCGCGCCUGUAAAUAGCCACUGCACUCCAGCCUGGGCAACAAAAUGAGACCCCGUCACUA
Molecule: unclassified non-coding RNA, 298 nt
Organism: Callithrix jacchus (white-tufted-ear marmoset)
Lineage: Eukaryota; Metazoa; Chordata; Mammalia; Primates; Cebidae
Rfam family: Metazoan signal recognition particle RNA
About the family: The signal recognition particle (SRP) is a universally conserved ribonucleoprotein.
Source: Ensembl